RNAcentral lists this long non-coding RNA (305 nucleotides) under Panax ginseng (ginseng). RNAcentral describes it as "long non-coding RNA (PGIN_LNC005888)". Lineage: Eukaryota; Viridiplantae; Streptophyta; Magnoliopsida; Apiales; Araliaceae. The record is from RNAcentral.
AGGAGAUUACAUUGUUCCUACCACUACAACUAAAAGAUAAUCAUUAAAGAUUACAUGCAAUAAUCUUGUUUGGGAAUAAUUAUUAAAGAAAAGUUUCGUUGAGCUCCAAUAGACGACAUAAUAUACUGGGUUGCGAAUGCUUUUCCAAGUUUCAUAUUCUACUCGUCUACCUACUUACUUUGGGCUUGUGAAUUUGGUGUUUAUGACUAUUAUUAUUUGGUAUCAAUUACUCAAUAAGGCCCAGAAACACAACCCAAAAGGCAUCACAUUUAUCUAUUUUAUUGGUGUUCCCAUGCAGUGAUACA